Molecule: ribosomal RNA, 483 nt
Filed under: Triticum aestivum (bread wheat)
Lineage: Eukaryota; Viridiplantae; Streptophyta; Magnoliopsida; Poales; Poaceae
Description: partial small subunit ribosomal RNA
Source: RNAcentral
AUGCUUUGGGAUGAUAGUGUCGUCCGUAUUUCGGACGUUCACACCUCCGAAUUUUGUUUAUCGGUAACUGUCAACGUGAUUCACUCCGAGACGUCAUUCAAGUUAACUACUGUUUAUGUACCAACGACUUCCAACAGAAAGGAUGAUUUCUUUGAGGACUUGAUCGCCCAAAAACCAACUUCUGGAGCCAAGUGGAUUGCCAUGGGCGAUUUUAACCAAAUCUCAAGAGCAAGAGACAAAAACAAUAGAAAUGUCAACCGCAGCCGUAUUAACCGCUUUCGUGAUGCUCUCGACACAUGCGAACUCAAAGAAAUUCACCUACAGAACAGACGUUUCACUUGGAGUAAUGAGCGGCAAAACCCCACUUUAUGCAAGCUUGACUCGGUCUUCUGUAAUGCUAAUUGGGAUAUGCAUUUUUGGAUCGCACGUGCUCCACGCCAUCUCUUCCUCACUCUCAGAUCAUUGUCCUCUCCUCCUCGCUGA